AUCAGUAUAUUAUAGGUCCUGAUUUCAUUGUUUAAAGUCAUAAUGCAGUCAUGCUUGAGGUGGAUGUGUAUAAAAUUCUGUAACGACUGUAUGUUGCUGCCUACAUGUGCUUGAGUUGUUCAUGUUAUCCUAAAUGGAUAUUUCUAGAAGAUUAAUUUAGCCAAUAGGAUGCCUGGUCAUGCUUGAUAUGCUCUGUAUCAUGAUUCAUAUUUAAGUGUUUUCUCAUUCGUUGGUACAUAGAUAUACUAAAAAGCUUUUAGCUUUGUGAGUGUCAAAUAGUCUAUGAUUGCUUGUACCUUUCCAUUUGCAUUUGAUAAAGUUUCUAUAUCUAUAUGUUACUCAUGUGUCAUGCUAGAUAGAAUCACUUCUCUUUUGGAUAAUUGUCAUUAGCAUGCCUCUUUCUUCUGGAUAAUUCAUAAUGGCCACCGGCGAGCUGCAUAUUGUUCAUAUUCCUUAGCGGCAUCAUGGUACUAACUGCCAUUUUUUAACUUUCUUUUGGAUAAUUCAUAAUGUCCACCGGCGACCUGCAUAUCGUUUAUAUUCCUUAGCGGCUUAUAGUACUAACUGCCAAUUUUUUGUAAAAUAAUUUUCUUUAUAUGCUUAUUGUUAUUGUUUCAUCUCACAAUUUUCUUCUCAAUUGAUCUGCAUAUUGUAGGCUAUUUCCUCUGCCAGAAUGAAAGGAGAAUAUGCUGAGAGAUAGCCUUCACGCAUGAUGAGAGUCUCAUUGCUUUACCGACAAGAAGCAAUGGAAGGCGAUGCCACUGCAGUUUAUGCGCUCAGGUUUCUCCGCUUCUGUUUGGCCUCUGUCAGUUGUAUUUUGAGCAUUGGCAUCUCUAGCGGAGCUGCACAAGCAGAAAGCUGAGCAGGAGCAACUCGGGGAUUAAGAAAAGGUCUAAAAUGUUGAAUCUCCCAAUAAAGUGGUACUGUAUUUCUCAGCUUCACUCAGCAUCUUCUACCUCAACCAGAAUUCAGCUACUAAACACAUCCAGUUAAUCCAUGAAUAAUUGUGAACCUAUGGUAUUUCUCUCUCUGCCGUGUGAACUGAUAAAUGCCGGAUGACAAAGUUGUGAACUAAGCAGCAAAAUGAGGCCAAGAGCCCGAUGGCGUUGUAGCUAUCGCCCCCUUCGGUGUACAGGAACCAGGCAAAACACCACUGUUAAUGUGAGCGACGACGAGCGAAUGGGCAGCGACAUAAUGCACCAUGGCAUGACGAUCAGAUCAGCGAUAUGAUUGUUGCGGUGGACAAUGCCAAGGAUCAGUUCUUUUUGUCGAUUGUUGUGUGGGAUUCUAUGUCAAUCUUUUCUGGAAACUUCUGUUUUCUUGAUUCAAAUUAUUUAAGAAAUUGUGAAUUUUGGUGUCUUUCGUAAGUAAAUGUCAGUGUCAAGGCGUCUUUUGUAUAUUUCAAGUAAUUCUUAGAACGUUGCCAACGAACUUAUUGUUA
This is a long non-coding RNA of Triticum aestivum (bread wheat), 1441 nucleotides long. RefSeq lists it as uncharacterized. The record is from RefSeq and is a predicted model, not a curated record. NCBI's taxonomy places the organism in Eukaryota, Viridiplantae, Streptophyta, Magnoliopsida, Poales, Poaceae. The transcript is spliced from 3 exons.